This is a non-coding RNA of Fusarium torreyae, 97 nucleotides long. Lineage: Eukaryota; Fungi; Ascomycota; Sordariomycetes; Hypocreales; Nectriaceae. The record is from the annotation of a GenBank genome assembly.
GGUCGUGUGGCCUAGUGGUUAUGGCACUUGUCUUACAUAAUGGAGCGUUUCCAAUCAAAAACACAAGGGAUCGCAGGUUCGAACCCUGCCACGAUCA